Molecule: ribosomal RNA, 515 nt
Filed under: uncultured bacterium
Lineage: Bacteria
Description: partial 16S ribosomal RNA
Rfam family: Bacterial small subunit ribosomal RNA
Source: RNAcentral
GAUGAACGCUGGCGGCGUGCCUAAUACAUGCAAGCCGAGCGAAUGGAUUAAGAGCUUGCUAUUAUGAAGUUAGCGGCGGACGGGUGAGUAAAACGUGGGUAACCUGCCCAUAAGACUGGGAUAACUCCGGGAAACCGGGGCUAAUACCGGAUAACAUUUUGAACAGCAUGGUUCGAAAUUGAAAGGCGGCUUCGGCUGUCACUUAUGGCUGGACGCGCGUCGCAUUAGCUAGGUGGGUAGGUAACGGCUCACCAAGGCAACGAUGCGUAGCCGUCCUGAGAGGGUGAUCGACCACACUGGGACUGAGACACGGCCCAGACUCCUACGGGAGGCAGCAGUAGGGAAUCUUCCGCAAUGGACGAAAGUCUGACGGAGCAACGCCGCGUGAGUGAUGAAGGCUUUCGGGUCGUAAAACUCUGUUGUUAGGGAAGAACAAGUGCUGGUUGAAUAAGCUGGCACCUUGACGGUACCUAACCAGAAAGCCACGGCUAACUACGUGCCAGCCGCCGCGGUAA